Molecule: non-coding RNA, 994 nt
Organism: Monodelphis domestica (gray short-tailed opossum)
Lineage: Eukaryota; Metazoa; Chordata; Mammalia; Didelphimorphia; Didelphidae
Source: RefSeq, a predicted model, not a curated record
UCCCACUGUAGAGGUUUCUGUGUGUUUUUUUCUUUUAUUUCUUUCUUUCUUUCCUCCCUUUCUCUUUUUAAAGGAUCCCACAACAAGGAAGAACAGUCAUGGCUGAGAAAGGACCAUUGCAGCUUCUGGAUCACAUAAGGCAUGGAGAGAGGCCAAUCCUGAAUGAAGGGUGCUUUCAAUGAACACCAAGGGAGGGAAGAGAGAUGUCUGCAGGAGGAAGAAGAGUAGGGACUGAAUAGCCCAUUAACACUGAUGAACAUUUUCCCAAACAAAGUCUACCCAGUGAGAGAGAGGAGACUCCAACUGGCUGCAAGGAAAGAAAAGGAAGGAAGCUUCUUUGGGCAGAGGAAGUUUAUUAUUCUGCGAGACGAAAUCGACAAAGAAAACUGAAGAAACCACAGAUAAUAGGUGAGAUGAGGACAAGUUUGUCAAAUGUAUGGGAAAAUCCAGCCAUAGUCCUAUUGCCAGAUAUUACUUAAGGGGCUUGAAAAUGGUGCCCUCAUUUUCAUAGAAGAGGAGAGAACUAGAAAAAUAUAGAUGCCCACUGAUUGGAAAAUGGCCAAACAAGAUGUGGCACAUUGAACAACAAUAAAGCUGAACUGUUCUUUUUUUUCCCCCUCUUUCUUUCCACUUUUUUAUGUCAGGGGUAGGUGGAAAUGAUGUCACCCCAUUCAGAUAUAUUUAUAAGUUAACUUGAUGCAUUACUUGUUGUGAGUAAGGCCUGGCAUAGAUACACCAGGAAGUCUUUUCUAAUAAACUGAGAGCUAGUGGGAACUGGGAGACUUCAAGCAUGCCAUGAGGGAACGGGAACAUCAGGAGCUGAACCUCACUGGAAACGAGAAAAAGGGUGAAAAAAGGGGGUCUAGGAAGGACUUUGGUCCUUCCUAGGCUUUUCUAGCAGAAAACAAAGGCUGACGCCAUCAGUCAUCCUGCCCCUCUCAUGGACCCAGAGAAGUUCUAAGAAAAGAUCUACUCUUUCCCUUAUUUCUCCUCU